Molecule: ribosomal RNA, 397 nt
Filed under: uncultured bacterium
Lineage: Bacteria
Description: partial 16S ribosomal RNA
Rfam family: Bacterial small subunit ribosomal RNA
Source: RNAcentral
AACAUUGCACAAGGGUGGAAACCCUGAUGCAGUGACGCCGCGAGAAGUAAGAAGAAUUUCGGUACGUAAACUUCUAUCAGCAAGGAAGAAAACGACGGUACCUGACUAAGAAGCCACGGCUAACUACGAGCCAGCAGCCGUUGUAACACGUAGGGGGCAAGCGUUAUCCGGAUUUACUGGGUGUAAAGGGAGCGUAGGUGGCAAGGCAAGUCAGAUGUGAAAGCCCGGGGCUCAACCCCGGGAUUGCAUUUGAAACUGCCCAGCUAGAGUGCAGGAGAGGUAAGUGGAAUUCCUAGUGUAGCGGUGAAAUGCGUAGAUAUUAGGAGGAACACCAGUGGCGAAGGCGGCUUACUGGACUGUAACUGACACUGAGGCUCGAAAGCGUGGGGAGCAAACA